AUUGAACGCUGGCGGCAGGCUUAACACAUGCAAGUCGAGCGGGGUGAUGGUGCUUGCACUAUCACUUAGCGGCGGACGGGUGAGUAAUGCUUAGGAAUCUGCCUAUUAGCGGGGGACAACAUCUCGAAAGGGAUGCUAAUACCGCAUACGUCCUACGGGAGAAAGCAGGGGAUCACUUGUGACCUUGCGCUAAUAGAUGAGCCUAAGUCGGAUUAGCUAGUUGGUGGGGUAAAGGCCUACCAAGGCGACGAUCUGUAGCGGGUCUGAGAGGAUGAUCCGCCACACUGGGACUGAGACACGGCCCAGACUCCUACGGGAGGCAGCAGUGGGGAAUAUUGGACAAUGGGGGGAACCCUGAUCCAGCCAUGCCGCGUGUGUGAAGAAGGCCUUAUGGUUGUAAAGCACUUUAAGCGAGGAGGAGGCUUACCUAGUUAAUACCUGGGAUAAGUGGAUGUUACUCGCAGAAUAAGCACCGGCUAACUCUGUGCCAGCAGCCGCUGUAA
This 503-nucleotide ribosomal RNA is filed under the name uncultured bacterium. RNAcentral describes it as "partial 16S ribosomal RNA". It matches the Rfam family "Bacterial small subunit ribosomal RNA", at positions 30 to 523 of the family's 1533-position model. The record is from RNAcentral.